Molecule: long non-coding RNA, 466 nt
Organism: Anopheles aquasalis
Lineage: Eukaryota; Metazoa; Arthropoda; Insecta; Diptera; Culicidae
Source: RefSeq, a predicted model, not a curated record
AAAUUUUCCUGCACAAAGCUAGUCGAAAUUGUUUGGAGGAACCAGGAGCACAAUGGGUUCCUUGCCAAUUAUUGUUACCCUCGCCGUUGUGGUGUUUCUGGCACACUCUGUCCACUGUCGCAACCCGUGUAGAUCGGAUGAAGAAUUACUACGGUGUCGCGAUAAGGAGGCAUGUUUCUGUCGCCCGGGGCUCCACCGUUACAAGAACAUGUGUCUCGAGGAAAGAAAAUGCGUCCCAGGAGCGUCGCAUUUGAGAUGCAGAGCGAAUGAAGCGUCUUUCCAUUGCGGUAGUGUGCAGGCGUGCUUCUGCUAUGCAGGAUUUGUGCGGUACCAAAACAACUGCAUCCCGAAAUCAGCUUGCACACCAGUGAAUAAAUGAUUAACAAACGAUCAGUCACAUUCUUACUAUCGCAAUAAGUAAAUGACAAUAAAUUAUUAGCACCACCUGAGUACGCAAUCAAGCUAA